CUGAGAACGAUGAUUGAGAUAAGUAAUUCGCCGACGCUAUGGACAGAGAGCCGGGGUAGGUGCAAGCCGGUAUAGCGAAAACGAAUGAAGAUGACUCAGGAGUGGCUCUUCUGAAGGAUCGAGUAGGAAGAGACGGUGACCCACGUUAUCGGGUAUGCAGAGGGCAUGAUCGAUUAUGAUGAUGCUAAAUUUGGGUGGUAACGCGAACGCAAAGUCUCGCCCCAAAA
Molecule: non-coding RNA, 227 nt
Filed under: Seinonella peptonophila
Lineage: Bacteria; Bacillati; Bacillota; Bacilli; Caryophanales; Thermoactinomycetaceae
Description: T-box sequence
Rfam family: T-box leader
About the family: Uncharged tRNA acts as the effector for transcription antitermination of genes in the T-box leader family. T-boxes are found upstream of many aminoacyl-tRNA synthetase genes and some amino acid biosynthetic genes usually in Gram-positive bacteria.
Source: RNAcentral